CUGCUGCCUCCCGUAGGAGUUUGGACCGUGUCUCAGUUCCAAUGUGGGGGACCUUCCUCUCAGAACCCCUACGCAUCGUCGCCUCGGUGGGCCGUUACCCCGCCGACUAGCUAAUGCGCCGCAUGCCCAUCCACCACCGGGAUCGCUCCCUUUGACCCCCCAGGGAUGUCCCUAAAGGGUGUCAUGGGGUAUUAGGCGGCAUUUCUACCGGUUAUCCCCCUGUGACGGCCAGGUUGCAUACGUGUUACUCACCCGUGCGCCGGUCGCCGG
Molecule: ribosomal RNA, 270 nt
Filed under: uncultured bacterium
Lineage: Bacteria
Description: partial 16S ribosomal RNA
Source: RNAcentral